Molecule: long non-coding RNA, 529 nt
Organism: Lacerta agilis (Sand lizard)
Lineage: Eukaryota; Metazoa; Chordata; Lepidosauria; Squamata; Lacertidae
Exons: 2
Source: RefSeq, a predicted model, not a curated record
CUGAUGGUUUUUUUGCUGCUUGUCUCUGUCCCCACACCCCAUUUUCACUUUGCUAAAAAUGACAGCAUGCUAACAGCACAAUCCUAACCACUGGGCUACUAGAAGUAAGUCUGAAUUGAAUUCAGUGGGGCUUGCUCAUUUGCCAAGAGACUACAGUGCAAUACAUCAGAUCACACCUCAUGCUGGCUCCAAGAGAAACACAAUGAUGGACAUGAAUACAUUAGCCAUGAAAAUCAGAGCCAUCGUCUUCCAUUCUUAAUAAGCAAACGGGGUCAUUUGUGGUCCACACUUUGCUCAUUGUUGUGAGAAGAAAUUGCUGAAGAAGGAUGCUACAGAUACUUGAAUACAGGAGUACCCAUUUGCCCCUCAAUAUCGUUGGGUAGCAAAAUGUACUUGAUAUUAGAUGCCAGUUAAAUAUGCUAAGGAAAACUGUUAUGCAACAAGAUCAUCAAAAAGCAUGUACAAUAGUAAUUUUAUAUUUAUGCAUGGGAUGCAUAUGGUAUAUUUUAUUAAAGAUCUUAGUGACCCA